Fundulus heteroclitus (mummichog) is the source of this 466-nucleotide long non-coding RNA. RefSeq lists it as uncharacterized. The transcript is spliced from 4 exons. The record is from RefSeq and is a predicted model, not a curated record. Lineage: Eukaryota; Metazoa; Chordata; Actinopteri; Cyprinodontiformes; Fundulidae.
GAGGUGCCAGAGGUGCAACUUUACAGCUAGACUGCAAGACAUGUGGCAGAGACUUUCUGAAAUCUAUGCCUCGUUUUUAGCACAGACUACUUCUCAAUUAUAUUAAUUCGGCCGGACAACAGCGCAAGGCCUUAGAAGCUAAAAGCACUUGAUUGAGCAGAAUUUAGCCUCAACUCCGUUCAAAGUUGUGGUCAGGACCACGCGGGGCCGGACAUGACUGGAGCUGGGAGUGGCGGCCAGGGCCCGUCUGAUGGGUCCGACGGCGAGGAGCCAGAGAAGUGUCCAGUGUGCCUGGGGGCCGUCGCCGGAGCAGAGCUGGCCAUGCCAGACAGCUGCUGCCAUGUUUUCUGCCUGAGAUGCCUCCUCACAUGGGCACAGAUGUCUCCCUCCUGCCCUGUGGACCGAAGACCAUUCUCUAAUGUUUACAGAUGGGAUGGCGACGUCGGCCUGGUGCAGGUACAUCUGC